Non-coding RNA from Potamilus streckersoni, 85 nucleotides. The record is from the annotation of a GenBank genome assembly. NCBI's taxonomy places the organism in Eukaryota, Metazoa, Mollusca, Bivalvia, Unionida, Unionidae.
UGGAUCGCUCCUGUGGCUUAGUGGUUAGAGUGGUCGCCUUGGAUGCGGGAGGCAGCGAGUUCGAAACCCGGCCGAAUUAUACUAA